This 66-nucleotide transfer RNA is filed under the name Planctomycetota bacterium. RNAcentral's name for it is "tRNA-Ala". The stretch from base 8 to 66 matches the Rfam family "tRNA". Rfam says of the family: Transfer RNA (tRNA) molecules are approximately 80 nucleotides in length. Their secondary structure includes four short double-helical elements and three loops (D, anti-codon, and T loops). Lineage: Bacteria; Pseudomonadati; Planctomycetota. The record is from RNAcentral.
GGUUUCAGGGGUUGGAGCGUCUGGUUUGCAACCAGAAGGUCGGCGGUUCGAGCCCGCUCGGCUCCA